This 499-nucleotide ribosomal RNA is filed under the name uncultured Flexibacteraceae bacterium. RNAcentral's name for it is "bacterial SSU rRNA". It matches the Rfam family "Bacterial small subunit ribosomal RNA", at positions 8 to 503 of the family's 1533-position model. Lineage: Bacteria; Pseudomonadati; Bacteroidota; Cytophagia; Cytophagales; Cytophagaceae. The record is from RNAcentral.
AGGCUUUGAUCCUGGCUCAGGAUGAACGCUAGCGGCAGGCGUAAUACAUGCAAGUCGAACGGUAGGAUUUGUAGCAAUACGAAUCUGAGAGUGGCGCACGGGUGCGUAACACGUAUGCAACUACCCUUAACAGGGGGAUAGCCCGGGGAAACCCGGAUUAAUACCCCAUAGUAUUAUUUAGAGGCAUCUUUAAAUAAUUAAAGCUGAGGUGGUUAAGGAUGGGCAUGCGCAUGAUUAGCUAGUUGGCGGGGUAACGGCCCACCAAGGCGAUGAUCAUUAGGGGAACUGAGAGGUUGAUCCCCCACACUGGCACUGAGAUACGGGCCAGACUCCUACGGGAGGCAGCAGUAGGGAAUAUUGGUCAAUGGGCGGUAGCCUGAACCAGCCAUGCCGCGUGCAGGAAGACGGCCUUCUGGGUUGUAAACUGCUUUUAUCUGGGGAUAAAAAGCCCAUGCGUGGGUCAUUGCAGGUACCAUGAUGAAUAAGCCACGGCUAACUA